CAGCCGCCGCGGUAAUACGAAGGGUGCAAGCGUUACUCGGAAUUACUGGGCGUAAAGCGUGCGUAGGUGGUGGUUUAAGUCCGUUGUGAAAGCCCUGGGCUCAGCCUGGGAAUUGCAGUGGAUACUGGGUCACUAGAGUGUGGUAGAGGAUAGUGGAAUUUCCAGUGUAGCAGUGAAAUGCGUAGAGAUCGGAAGGAACAUCUGUGGCGAAGGCGACUAUCUGGGCCAACACUGACACUGAGGCACGAAAGCGUGGGGAGCAAACAGGAUUAGAUACCCGCGUAGUCCCUGUCUCUUAUAC
Molecule: ribosomal RNA, 301 nt
Filed under: uncultured bacterium
Lineage: Bacteria
Description: partial 16S ribosomal RNA
Rfam family: Bacterial small subunit ribosomal RNA
Source: RNAcentral